AGAGUUUGAUCCUGGCUCAGGAUGAACGCUAGCGGCAGGCUUAAUACAUGCAAGUCGAACGGGAUUCGGUGUAGCAAUACAUUGAUGAGAGUGGCGCACGGGUGCGUAACACGUAUGCAACCUACCUUUAACAGGGGAAUAGCCCCGAGAAAUCGGGAUUAAUACUCCGUAACAUUGCGAUGUGGCAUCACAUUGCAAUUAAAGAUUCAUCGGUUAAAGAUGGGCAUGCGUGACAUUAGCUAGUUGGUGAGGUAACGGCUCACCAAGGCAACGAUGUCUAGGGGUCCUGAGAGGGUUAUCCCCCCCACUGGUACUGAGACACGGACCAGACUCCUACGGGAGGCAGCAGUAAGGAAUAUUGGUCAAUGGGCGCAAGCCUGAACCAGCCAUGCCGCGUGCAGGAAGACGGCCCUAUGGGUUGUAAACUGCUUUUGUCAGGGAAUAAACCUGUCUACGUGUAGACAGCUGAAGGUACCUGAAGAAUAAGCAUCGGCUAACUCCGUGCCAGCAGCCGCGGUAAUACGGAGGAUGCAAGCGUUAUCCGGAUUCAUUGGGUUUAAAGGGUGCGCAGGCGGGCUGAUGAGUCAGAGGUGAAAUCCCACAGCUCAACUGUGGAACUGCCUUUGAUACUGUUAGUCUAGAGUAUAGUUGAAGUUGGCGGAAUGUGUCAUGUAGCGGUGAAAUGCUUAGAUAUGACACAGAACACCGAUCGCGAAGGCAGCUAGCUAAGCUAUAACUGACGCUCAUGCACGAAAGCGUGGGGAUCAAACAGGAUUAGAUACCCUGGUAGUCCACGCUGUAAACGAUGAUUACUCGAUGUUGGCGAUACACAGUCAGCGUCUAAGGGAAACCAAUAAGUAAUCCACCUGGGGAGUACGAUCGCAGAUUGAAACUCAAAGGAAUUGACGGGGGCCCGCACAAGCGNANGAGCAUGUGGUUUAAUUCGAUGAUACNCGAGGAACCUUACUGGGCUAGAACGUA
RNAcentral lists this ribosomal RNA (981 nucleotides) under uncultured bacterium. Its description in RNAcentral is "bacterial SSU rRNA". It matches the Rfam family "Bacterial small subunit ribosomal RNA", at positions 8 to 988 of the family's 1533-position model. The record is from RNAcentral.